RNAcentral lists this ribosomal RNA (213 nucleotides) under uncultured bacterium. RNAcentral's name for it is "partial 16S ribosomal RNA". It matches the Rfam family "Bacterial small subunit ribosomal RNA", at positions 1288 to 1500 of the family's 1533-position model. The record is from RNAcentral.
UCAGUUCGGAUUGUAGUCUGNAACCCGACUACAUGAAGCUGGAAUCGCUAGUAAUCGCGAAUCAGAAUGUCGCGGUGAAUACGUUCCCGGGUCUUGUACACACCGCCCGUCACACCAUGGGAGUUGGAAAUGCCCGAAGCCGGUGACCGAACCUUAGGGACGGAGCCGUCGAAGGUGGAGCCAAUGACUGGGGUGAAGUCGUAACAAGGUAUC